CUCGGGGGCCGCGUGCUUCUCUUUCUCCGGUCUGGGAGCUCACGGCGGACGCGCGGAGCCAACAUGCCAGUGGCCCGGAGCUGGGUGUGUCGUAAGACUUAUGUGACCCCUCGGAGGCCCUUCGAGAAGUCGCGCCUCGACCAGGAACUGAAACUGAUCGGCGAGUACGGGCUCCGGAACAAACGUGAGGUCUGGAGGGUCAAGUUUACCCUGGCCAAGAUCCGCAAGGCCGCCCGGGAGCUGCUGACGCUGGACGAAAAGGACCCGCGGCGCCUGUUCGAAGGUAAUGCCCUACUGCGGCGACUUGUACGCAUCGGGGUGCUGGAUGAGGGCAAAAUGAAGUUGGAUUACAUUCUGGGCCUGAAGAUCGAGGAUUUCUUAGAGAGACGCCUGCAGACCCAGGUCUUUAAGCUGGGCUUGGCCAAGUCCAUCCACCAUGCCCGUGUGCUGAUCCGCCAGCGCCAUAUCAGCCCUCGGAGGUGACAAAGGUGUGAACACACCUUGAGGGUACAGAUUGACACCUGCAAAGUGCUCAUGGGUUGCUGGGGAGAGCCUCAUCCCCUGCCCCGUAGCCCAGCGCAAGGGUCACUGCGGCCUAAGCCGUACACCUUGCGAAGGCUUCUACAGGCAUGCAUGCAGCCAGACAGGGUCCGAAAGCAGGUAGUGAACAUCCCGUCCUUCAUUGUCCGCCUGGACUCCCAGAAGCACAUCGACUUCUCCCUCCGUUCUCCGUAUGGGGGUGGCCGCCCAGGCCGCGUGAAGAGGAAGAAUGC
RNA transcript from Canis lupus familiaris (dog), 773 nucleotides. It is a transcript of the gene named ribosomal protein S9, with no coding region annotated. The record is from RefSeq and is a predicted model, not a curated record. NCBI's taxonomy places the organism in Eukaryota, Metazoa, Chordata, Mammalia, Carnivora, Canidae. The transcript is spliced from 6 exons.